CGGGGCAUAGCUCAGCCUGGCUAGAGCGCUGCGUUCGGGACGCAGAGGCCGCUGGUUCAAAUCCAGUUGCCCCGA
Molecule: transfer RNA, 75 nt
Filed under: Planctomycetaceae bacterium
Lineage: Bacteria; Pseudomonadati; Planctomycetota; Planctomycetia; Planctomycetales; Planctomycetaceae
Description: tRNA-Pro
Rfam family: tRNA
About the family: Transfer RNA (tRNA) molecules are approximately 80 nucleotides in length. Their secondary structure includes four short double-helical elements and three loops (D, anti-codon, and T loops). Further hydrogen bonds mediate the characteristic L-shaped molecular structure. tRNAs have two regions of fundamental functional importance: the anti-codon, which is responsible for specific mRNA codon recognition, and the 3' end, to which the tRNAs corresponding amino acid is attached (by aminoacyl-tRNA synthetases). tRNAs cope with the degeneracy of the genetic code in two manners: having more than one tRNA (with a specific anti-codon) for a particular amino acid; and 'wobble' base-pairing, i.e. permitting non-standard base-pairing at the 3rd anti-codon position.
Source: RNAcentral